RNAcentral lists this ribosomal RNA (113 nucleotides) under Panthera tigris altaica (Amur tiger). The record is from RNAcentral. Lineage: Eukaryota; Metazoa; Chordata; Mammalia; Carnivora; Felidae.
GACAUUUGGUAGAGACUGUUGAAGCCACCUGGUCCCAGCAGACCCCAAAAGGUGGCCACAUUCACUGGUGCUGGGGCAAGGUCAUUAAGGGUGAAGCCUGGUGCCAGAUGUGU